Molecule: ribosomal RNA, 454 nt
Filed under: uncultured bacterium
Lineage: Bacteria
Description: bacterial SSU rRNA
Rfam family: Bacterial small subunit ribosomal RNA
Source: RNAcentral
GAGUUUGAUCCUGGCUCAGAGCGAACGCUGGCGGCAGGCCUAACACAUGCAAGUCGAACGGACUCUUCGGAGUUAGUGGCGGACGGGUGAGUAACACGUGGGAACGUGCCUUUUGGUACGGAAUAGCUCCUGGAAACGGGUGGUAAUGCCGAAUGUGCCCUUCGGGGGAAAGAUUUAUCGCCAUUAGAGCGGCCCGCGUCUGAUUAGCUAGUUGGUGAGGUAAAGGCUCACCAAGGCUACGAUCAGUAGCUGGUCUGAGAGGACGACCAGCCACAUUGGGACUGAGACACGGCCCAAACUCCUACGGGAGGCAGCAGUGGGGAAUCUUGCGCAAUGGGCGAAAGCCUGACGCACCCCAUGCCGCGGGUAUGAUGAAGGUCUUAGGAUUGUAAAAUACUUUUCCCCGGUGAAGAUAAUGACUGUAGCCGGGAAAAAAACCCCCCGGUUAACUUCG